CUAACACAGAUUAUGAUAAGAUUACUACUCACAGUACAAUUUUUGAAAUACCAACUUGUCACCUUGGACAAUUGAUAGGAAUCCCUUCGAUCGAAUCUAAAAUCAUAUCAUAUCAAAUCUCAAGUUAAUUCUCUUAUUUAGGGUAAUUCCAUGAUAAAAUUAGACUACUCAACCCUCGGGUUUCCAUGGUAACCUUCAAUUUCUUAAAUUUCAUGUCCAAAACCACACCUUAAAAUGAUGAAACCUAUCUUUGAUAAUUAAAUUUUACUACCCAAAAUAAAUUAUAAAAGCUAAAAAUCAUGAUAAAGAUAUAAGAACGGAUUUACCUUUAACCUGGAAGAAUUUUCUAAUCAACCUUAAACCUUUCUUUUCUUUUAACUGAAGGAAAAAUUGAUUUUUUCCCUCUUCAGCGUGAUUGGCAGAUUAGUUACUGCCUUAGUUGUUCCUAACCUUUGCCUUCUUAAUCCUUUGAUGGAAAAAGCCCUUUUUGUCAAUAUAUAAUAUAUUGUUUUUCCCAAUUUAAUUUGAAUUGGAUAUGGGCCACGACCCUAAUUGGAUAUGGGCCACGACCCUAACUUUUCUAAAUUCUUUUCCAUUUUCUUAUUAAUAUGGGCUUUAGCCCAUAUCUCUUAUAAAAUAUUUUUUCUCAAUUAUAAUUACUCACUAAUUAUAAGUUGGGGUAUUACAUUCUCCCCACCUUAAGAAAUUCGAUCCACGAAUUUAGAGUAAGUGCAUACCUGAAGACUGAAACAAGUGAGGGUACUUGAGUCUUAUAUCUUUUUCUGACUCCCACGUAGCUUCUUCGAUGGUAUGAUUUUUCCAUAACACUUUCACGGACACCAACUCUUUCGACCGUAACCUUCUUACUUAUCGAUCAAUGAUAGCACAGGUUCCUCCUCAUAGGUUAAGUUCUCAUCAAGUUGCAAGGUUGGUGCUUUGAGUACGCGCGAAGAAUCUGAUAUACACUUUCUUAGCAUAGAGACAUGAAACACUGGAUGGACGAAAGACAUAUAGGGAGGGAGUGACACUCGAUAAACCACUCGUCCUAUUAGGGUUGUGCAAAUUUUGGUCCAAACCUCUAACCCAAACCGAUAAUAUGUUUAUCGGGUUAACGGUUUGUUUUUUUCUCUAUCGGGUUGGAUUUCAGGGCAAAGAUUUUUGAAAUCAGGUUAUCGGUUCGGGCCUUAAUUUAUUUACCCUUUUUAUUGGGUGGCCCGAUAACCCGAUAUCCCAAUAUAAACAACACAAUAUACAUGACUGUUGAGCCCAUUUAUUCAUGUCCCAUUAGUGUCAUUACCGUUUGGCCUAAAGGCCCAAUAUCCCAAUACCCAUUUUAACUCUAUCAGUGAAAUAAGUCAAAUAAGUGAAUUAGCCAGAAGCCACUUAGGGUUUUUUCACAAUUCACAUUUCAUAAACACAGAAACACUCGUGCGACUUCUCUUGCUCAGUUGCUUUCUUAGUGGCGCCUCUCCUCGUCAGUACUUAGUCGUCUCUCACUCUUAAGUCUCAGCAUUCAUACGAAGAAGAGGUAUUCAAGCUCACACCAAAGAGGCAAAGAUGAUUUGCUGCGCUCAACAGAAACAGUUGUAAAGUAGUGGAAGAAGGGAGGAUAUUGAUAAACCCCACUCAAUGGCGACGGCGACAAGGCCUGGUAUUCCAAAGUCGGAAGCUAUUUCCAAAGGCUACAAUUUCGCUUCUACUUGGGAACAGGUUAUGGUUCAAUCUCUAUCUACCCUUACUUAUUUUCUACAUUUCUCUGAUUUCCUCCAGAUCUUAUUAGAUUUGUGUAAAAGCAUAAUCAAAAUUAUUUAGAUCUCUUCUUCUAUGAAAAAUUUGAUGACCGCAUUUGCCCAAAUAAAUGAAUAGUAUAGUGAUGUUUCUAAGGAGAUUAAAAUAUUUGCUACUGAAUUUGAUGUAUUCGUACUUAGUCCUCUAUUUGAUUUUAGUGUGUCGUUGCAAAUUGAGGAAAAUAAUUGGAACUAUUUUUGAAACGCUCUGACGGCAAAUUGCCGUAAUUUAUAUUUUUAACCUACGCAAUUUGACACUUUUUAAGGCUGCAAAAUUGCAAGUAAACUUUAAAUAAUAUAGUAUUUAAUCAAAAUAAACUAUAUGAAGUGGGCCAAAAAAUGGCUGAGGAGGAAAUAAUAUAAGAAUGACCGAUAAUUGAUAAUUGAGGGAGGUUAUCCCUGUCUGUCACAAUGUGCAUUGUUUACUUAUUCAGAGACUUCUUUGAUUUCCUUGUCUGACUUUGUGUAGUCAUAAAAGAAAUUUGGGCACAUGUCAUGGAGCUCCACUUGCAUUAUUCAUUUGUUGAAUUAGACGUGGUUUGGCUAAUUCUCUUCCAUUUCCCUGUUAGAUGUUAACUUAAUGUUCAUAAUUAACUGACAGAUUAACGAUUCAAAGUUUUAUCAUGCAUGGUACUGUCUUCAACUAACUGAUUAAUAAAGGUUUCGUUGAUCGAGUGUUCGGAUCUCCGAUUAACCGAUUAAUGUGAUUUCUAAGAAAAGGAGAGAGAAAAUUGUUUCUUUAUGUGAUAAAGUCCUCUCAUUUGAUUUCGUUUGAUUUCACUACCUGUGUUUGUUGCUUCUUUUCAAUGGAAAGUUUUAGCAUCUGGUAAUUAUGUCGCAUAUUCUCAAUUAAACUAUCUUUUCAUGUUUUAUUCUCAUUGUAAUGGGACACUGUCACGACCCGAGGCUACCCCCUAGUUGUAACACGGUGCUUAAGGCCACAAGUGACCCCAAGCUAACCCAUGAACUGGUACCUGUUGUGAGCACUGAAUAAAGUAAUAAUAAAACAUCAUGUGCGGAAGUUAAACUGAUAAACUUAUGUUAAGUUGUAAUACUGAAACAAAUACCAACGUGUUUGAACUACUGAUAAAAAUUGAAAACAAGUUUGAAUAUCUGAACAUAUGAAAGCCUCUAAGACAUGAGGAGUUGAUGGGACAAAUCCCCAACUAACUUCGACCGACUGAAAUAAAGAAAGUAUUGAAAAUAACUGCAAAUAACUUGUCCUCGAUGGAUGAGGACUCACCACAACUGCUGCUGAGUGGCACUGGACUGACUAAGGGCGAUCGGGGAAUUGAGCAUCCGAACCUAUAGUGUGAAAUCAUAUAGCGCAAAAGAGAGUAUGCAGUCAGUACAUGGAAUGUACUGGUAUGUGAGAUAGAGACAACUAAGAUACAUUUAAGUACUGGGCAUAAAUGCAUGGACAUGUAGGAAGAAUGCAAAACCAAGUAAAACAUGAACUAAGAUAAUCUGUAAAAUGAAUAACUAAUAAACUUAACACUUGGUCACACAAACUUGAGCUGAUAUGGUCUGAAUACUGAACUGAGAUUGUGGGAGCUAACUACAACUGACAUGCCCCAAUCUGAGUUAUCCGGGUCCAACCUGUAACCCCUGUUGGAAGGGUGAUGGUACCUUGCCAGGGGUACCAACACAUGACUGACGAUGUGGAUUCACAAGGUUGAUGUCCCGAAGGACGAGGGUGUUAUGCCUCUACUGACAGGGGGCCCCUCAUAAUCUACGGUGGCGCCAUAGGUCUGGAACUAAGGGACUGCUAUUAACGACUCAUGCCUAACUGACGGGGGAGCCUCUAUCCCUGCGUUCACUCGGUGCUAAGUGUUACUCCCAACUGAAUGACAUUGGUAUUAUUAUUCGUUUAACAUGAUGUGGUACUGUUAAGUGCUCAGCAUGAACAUGAUACUUUGAAUAUGAAAAUAAAAUCAUGAUUUGACUGACUUGUUACUUGAAAAUAAAAACAUGUAUAAACAUAUAGGUAUCAGGUGUUCAUAACCCUCUAGCAUUGAAUAAUACUUUGAAUACAAUGACAUCAAUUAAGAACACUAUAAGGGAAUUCAUAAUUCAGAGAUCCAAAACAUAGAAUAUAUCCUUAACUGAUGGAAUCUAUGAGUAUGGGUAUGGGAAUGUGUUGAACUUGUAAGGACAACAUGCUCACAUGGUUUUAUUCAUGAAUUGGUAAGUUAACAUGGUAUCAACUGAACAUGAUAUGGGUGAUUGAAAUUUAAAGCAGAUAACAAUGAAAUACACAUGAGGAAACAUAUUGGCAUUGCUUGAAUUCAAAGCUACUAUGAGAACAUCGAGUAAAUUCGUACUUAACAUUGGAAUUUUAUAAAAAGAGGGAAAAAGGUGUUUAUACAUGAAAUUCAAAGGGUUCUUGGGACUCAAUGGGUGGAAGGCUAAGUUGCUCGGACUUGGCUGUUUUGCCGCCGAACCCGUCUCGACACGAGACUGAGGCAGGGACGGGUGCUUCCGCCGUCUCCGAUUCGGUCAACCAAUUUCGGAGACAUCGACCAAACUAAGGAAGAAAUUUGAGUGGAAAAAUUGAAUAAUUAAUCGGCAACUUACGUGAAAAAAUCCCGACCAACGACCACCGGAAUAGAGACGGCGUUGUCGAUGUGCCGUUGUUGGAAAUCAUCGUCAACGUCGUCGGAAAUCAUCGGUGCAGUCGUCGUACCACCUCAGGGUACGGAAAUUAUCGUCGUACCAGAAAUCGGCGCAGUUGGCGUUUACACAGUGACAGUUUUUUUUUUUUCAAGUCAAAGUGACUGUUUUAAAAUCUUUGUCGUACUGGGUUUUUUUUUUUUACUACUUUUAAUUAAUAAUUAGUUACUUUACUAUUAAUAAUUAAUUAAUCUAUUGCUAGCAGUCCAGCACUGUGUCGGUCCCUCAACAAAGAUGAUUCAUGUCGGUUAGUGUAUAUUACUUUGACAACAUUAAUUUAAGUUCUUAAUUAUAUUUAUUUUUAGUAAAUAAAUGUGAGAUAAUUUUGGAUAAAGUUUUAAAUACAAAUACUAUUCCUAAUUGAAAAGUAAAAUCAAAAGACAAAAAUAACUAAAAAUAGUAAAUUAACUAAAAUAUAUAAAUCCUAAUCCCUAUGUGUCAAGGAAACAUUAAAUUGAUUUAAAUUGGGAAAAGUCAAAAAGUAUCUUCAUCCAUAACAUUAUAAACAGAACGUCUGUUAAAAGAAAUUUUAACUUAAAAAUUUGAUUAUUCUUUAUCAAAUAAUAUGGCAUCAUCCGCAUCGGGUAGUCAAAAGGGAAAAGGUCCUAUGAGACCAACAAAAAGUAUAGGAGUAGAUUUUGAUGACAAAUCACUAUGGAAUCAUGUUAAAGUGAUUUCAGCUGCUCCCAAUAGUGGUGGAAAUAGAACAUGGUCAUGUAACUAUUGUAAUAAACAAGUUACUGGAUCAUAUAAUAGAGUUAAAGCACAUCUGUUAAGAAUAUUGGGUCAAAGAGUUCAAAUAUGUAGUGAAGUUCAAGGUGAUAAAUUGAGAAUUUUGAAGAUGGAGCACGAACAAGCUGAAAAGAAAAAAUCUUCAGUUCAAGUUGAUACAAGAAAAAAAACUGAUUAUGUAUCUCUUCCGAAGGGCACUGAUUUAUUCCAACAUAAAAAAAGAAAGUUCAGAAAGAGGAGCUAUAGGAAAAUCUUUUGGCAUCCAUAGGAGGAAUACUGCCGACAAAUUAGCGGCUAGAAUGUUCUACGCAUUAGGUUUAUCGUUCAAUCUUGCCAACUCUCCAUGCUUUAAAAAAUAUUCGAAGUUUUUAGCUGAAAAUUCCAUCCCCGAUUUUAUUCUCCCAUCCUAUGUUGCUCGGACUCGGCUGUUUUGCCGCUGAACCCGUCUCAACACGAGACUGAGGCGAGGACGGGUGCUUCCACCAUCUCUGAUUCGGUCAAAUGAUUUCGGAGCCGUUGACCAAACUAAAGAAUAAAUUUGAGGGGAAACAUCAAAUAAUUAACCGGCGACUUACCUAAAAAAUCCCGACCAACGACCAUCGAAACAGAGACGGUGUUGUCGAUGUGCUGUCGCCGUCGACGGAAAUCAUUGUCGCAGUCGCAGUCGUCGUACCUCCUCAGUCGUCUUCAGUCAUCCGUUUCUCUCACCUCAGUGACGGCAGCGUUGGACACAGUGAUGGUUUUUAAUUUUUUUGGGGGGGUCAAGGUGACGUGUUUUAUUUAUGUGUUGUUAAUAACAUAUAUUAAUAAUAUUUAUUUAUUAUUUAUAUUAACAACAAAUAUUAUUUUUAAUUAAGAGUAAAACAUGUGUAUACUUAUUCAUUAUACUUACUUUGACAGGGUUUUAUUUGUUUGUGUUGUUAAUAACAUAAUAUUAAUAUUUAAUAUUUAUAUUAACAACAGAUACUAGUAUUAUUUCUAAUAAAAAAGUAAAAUAUGUAUACUUAUUUAGUAUACUUACUUUGACAACAUUAGUUUAAAUUUUUAAUUAUACUUAUUUUUAAUAUUUUGGUAAAUAAGCGUGAAUUAUAAUUUUGAAAAAAGUUUCUAAUACAAAUACUAUUCGUAGUAUUUAAUGUUUUUUAGCCGAAUCCCCGCAGCCGUAUCCACACUCUGAUUCACACCCCCGAAUCUUAAAAUUUAUAUUUUGACGAAUCCGACUCUCGGAUCUGCACCCGUCUCGAAUACCCGCACCCGAGUCCGAGCAACUUAGCCCCCCAUCAUAUAAUAGGUCGAGAACAACUCUUUUAGAUCAAGAAAAGACUCACAUUAAUAGGAAGUUGCAACCAAUUAAAGAUAUAUGGAAAAAGAAAGGGUUGUCGAUUUGUUCGGACGACUGGUCUGACACUAAAAGACGACCUUUGAUCAAUAUAUUAGCAUCAUUUAGUUGGGGUCCAAUGUUUUUAAAUUCAAUAAAUUCUAGUGAGUGCACGAAGGGUGGAGAAUAUAUUGCUAAUUUGUUUAUUGAAGCAAUAGAGAAAGUAGGUCCAAAUAAUGUUGUUCAAGUUAUUACAAAUAACGCAAGUAAUAUGAAACUUGCCGGUACUAUGGUGGAGGAAAAAUAUCCUCAUAUAUUUUGGACUCGUUGUGUUGUUCAUUGUUUGAAUCUAGCUUUGAAAAGUAUGUGCCAACCAUUUGAUAAAUCAUCUCACUUUGCUAAUUGCCAAUGGAUCUCAGAGUUAUUUAGUGAAGUGAGUAAUUUGAAAAAUUUUGUUGUGAAUCAUGACAUGACACAUGCGAUUUUUCAAAAACAUUCAGAUUUAUGUUUAUUUAAAGUUGGUGAAACAAGAUUUGCUUCAUAUGUUAUUAUGACGACUCGUAUUUGCAAAGUGAAAUCUUCUUUAGAGAAGAUCGAUGAAUGGAAGAAUUAUAAGGGGAUAAGGGAAUUGAAGUCAAAACUCGUGAAAUAAAAUCCUUUAUAAUGAAUGAUGAAAAGUGGGAUAAUAUUGACUAUUUUUGUAAGUUUAUGGAACCUAUUGUAGAUAUGCUUAGAGAUGCCAAUCUAGAUGGUCUAAAAUUACAUCUCAUUUAUGAUAUGUGGGACUUAAUGAUUGAGAAGGUUAAAAAAAUAAUCUUUGAGCAUGAGAGGGAAGAUCUCAUUUUUGGCCAAUCAAUUUUUUUUUAUUCCAUUCAUUGUGUUCUAGUGGCUAGGUGGAACAAAAGCAACACCCCUUUACAUUGUAUGGCACAUUCUUUGGUUCCCAAAUAUUCCCAAAUACUAUCAUCAAUCAUGGCUUCAAGGAGAGAAUGGAAUUCUACGGGUAGCUCCUAAUGAAGAUUUAGAAAUUGCAUCGAAUAGAAUAAAGUGCUUUCAAAGUUACUUUGAUUCUAAUCAAAUGAAACAAGUUUCAUUGGAGUAUGGAAAAUUUUGUAGCAUGAGUGGUUAUUUUGGUGAGCCUCAUGUGAUUGAUGCUAUGGAGUAUGAAGAUCCCCUUUCUUGGUGGGGAAAUCAUGGUGUCUCGACUCCACUUUUGUAACGGUUAGCUUACAAGUUGCUUACUCAAUUGGCUUCUUCCUCCUGUUGUGAAAGAAAUCGGAGCACAUAUUCUAUGAUUCACAACAUCAAGAGAAAUAAGUUAGCAACUUCAAGAGCCGAAGAUUUAGUGUUUGUACAGUAUAAUCUACGAUUGCUAUCUCGUAAGAAAAAGAAAUAUAUAAAUGGGCCAAGCAAGUAUUGGGAUGUAGGUGGAGAUCAAUUUGAAGUUGAGGAUACAAUUAAUAAUUUAACCGAGCUAUCAAUAGAUGAACGUCAAUUGGAAGGAGUAGUUUUUGACGAAGAAUUUGAAGAUUUGGAAGAAUUUGAAGAAGAUGCGGAAGAGUAGUUAACUUAAGUAACUUGAUAAUGGACAUUUUUUUUUGUUCUAUUAUUUUUGAAUUGAUGUCUUAAGUUGGGAUGUUUUCUUGUGUUUGUUUAAUAAAGUAUUUUUAGAAUAUC
Molecule: long non-coding RNA, 8187 nt
Organism: Capsicum annuum
Lineage: Eukaryota; Viridiplantae; Streptophyta; Magnoliopsida; Solanales; Solanaceae
Exons: 3
Source: RefSeq, a predicted model, not a curated record